CACACAUGGUUCAGGUGCAGCUCAGCCAAGGCUCACACGUGAUGCAGGCACGAAACAGAACAGGGUCCCAUGUGGCUGACGCAUGAUUCAGGUGUUUGGCAUGCAUGGCUCCCACACGGCUGAGGUGUGGCUCGUGCAUGGCUGUGGUGCCACUCAGGCAUGGCUCACACUUGUUUGUGGCAUGGUUGACACGUGGUCCAGGCAUGGCAGGCAGGGGGCUCUAGAGUGGCUGACACGUGCUUCAAGUGAGGCUGGUGUGUGGUUAAAUUGGGACUGGCACAUCGUUCAGUCGUGGCUGGCUUGUGACUUCAGGAUGGGCGAGAUGAGACUCAGGCGUGGCUCACACGUUUUUCAGGGAUGGCUGACACGUGACUCAGGUGGAGCAGCCACGUGACACAGGCAUGCCUGUCACAUCACGCAUGUGUGGCUCGCACCUGGUUCAAGAACGGCCUUCACAUUGCUCAGGGGUGGCUGGUGCGUGGUUCAAGCAUGGGUGCCAGCUGUUUCAGGUGUGGCUGACACAUGACACGGGCAUGGCUGACACGUGACUCAGGCAUUCAUCGCACAUUACCAUGCCUGGCAGACAUGUGUUUCAUGCAUGGGUUACGUGUUGUUCGUGUGUGGGACACACGUGUCUCGUUUUUUGCUGACCCAUGGCUCCCACCUACUCAGACGUGGCUUGCAUGUGGCUGACACAUGGCCCAGUCAUGUUUCACGUGUGGCUUCCAUGUGGUUGACGUGUGGUUCAGGCAUUGAAGAUGGGUGCUUGACUCGUGGUUCCCAUGUGGUUCAAGUGUGACACAUGUGGUUCAGUCAUGCUUCAGGUGUGACUCCCGAAGGGUUCAGGUGGAACCCAGCAGUGGCUCACACAUGGCUGAUGUGCGUGUCACCUAGGGUUGAGGAGUGUCCCCCGUGAUUCAGGCAUGGCUCACACGUGGUGCAGGCAUGGCUCAGCCAUGGCUCACAUGCAGUUCAGACGAGCCUCAGACAGGGGCCAGGAGUGGCUGACACAUGAUUCAGGAGUUUGUCACACAUGGCUAACACACAUCUCAGGGGAGGCUCACGCAUGGCUGGGGCUUGGCUCUGGCAUGGUAGGCACACUGCUCAGGACUGUCUGACACGAGACUCAGGUGUUGCUCACAUGUGUUUCCCGCAUGGGAUUCUGGUGUGUCGGGCAUGGGUUCCAGUGCUGUGUGGUGCUUCAUUGAGGCCGCAGUGACAUGUGAUUGCUGCAGUCCUGACACAUGUGGUGUGGCAGUUGACAAAUGGCUCAGGCGUGGCUGACAUGUUGUUCAGAUGUGGGUGACAGGUGAUUCAGCUGUGGCUGGCACUUUACUGAUGCGGGGCUGACACAUGACGCAGGCAUUGCUCACACGUGACUCAGGCAUUCAUAGCACAUUAUCCAUGCAUGGCAGGCAUACGGUCACACAUAUGUGACAUGCCGUACAGGUGUGGCUCCCACAUGUCUCCCAGGUUGCAGGAACUUAGCUCUCAAAUACUCACUCAUGUCUGGCACGUGGCUCAUACAUGGCUCAGCUGUGUUUCAUGUGUGGCUCCCAUGUGGUUCAUGUGUGCUUCAAGCAUUGAUCAUUUGUGUUCCAGAUAUGGUUCAGAUGUGGUUCAAGGGUGUCUCACGUGUGGUUCAUGCAUGGCUCACACAUGUUUCGACUGUAAUUCAGGCGUGGCUCACACAUGACUCGUGUGGGUCACAUAUGGUAGAGGAAGCUGUCACACGUGGUUCAGGCAUAGCUCAGGUGUGGCUCACCUGUGUAUGUGGCAUGAUUUGCACUUGGUUCAGGCCUGGCUUUCACGUGACUUUGGCACAGCUGCGGCGUGACAUAAUCAUGGCUCACACAUUCUUCAGGAGUGGCUGACACAUGACUCAGGUGAGGCAGCCUCAUGACACACGCAUGCCUGACACGUCAUGCAGGUGUGGUCCACACAUGGUUCAUGCAUGGCCUUCAUGUGGUUCAGGCGUGGCUUGUGCCUGGUUAACGCAUGGGUGGCAGGUGGUUCAGGCAUGGCUGAUAUGUGACUCAGGCAUGUGUGAAACAUGCCUCCGUUGCGGCUGACACAUGUGUCAGGCAUGGCUGACACGUGACUCAGGCAUUCAUUGCACAGGAUCCAUGUGUGGCAAACAUGCAAUCACACAUCUGUGACAUGUAAUUCAGGCAU
This is a long non-coding RNA of Equus caballus (horse), 2175 nucleotides long. NCBI's taxonomy places the organism in Eukaryota, Metazoa, Chordata, Mammalia, Perissodactyla, Equidae. The record is from Ensembl.